GACGAACGCUGGCGGCGUGCUUAACACAUGCAAGUCGAACGGAAAGGCCUGCUUUCCCUUGUGGAUUGCGGGUACUCGAGUGGCGAACGGGUGAGUAACACGUGAGCGAUCUGCCCCCAACUUGGGUAUAAGCCUGGGAAACUGGGUCUAAUUCCCGAUAGGACUGCAGGGUGGUGCCUGUGGUGGAAAACGAUUUUCUAGUGGUUGGGGAUGAGCUCGCGGCCUAUCAGCUUGUUGGUGGGGUAAUGGCCUACCAAGGCGGCGACGGGUAGCCGGCCUGGGAGGGUGGACGGCCACAUUGGGACUGAGACACGGCCCAGACUCCUACGGGAGGCAGCAGUGGGGAAUAUGGCACAAGGGGCGGAAGCCUGAUGCAGCGACGCCGCGUGGGGGAUGACGGCCUUCGGGUUGUAAACUCCUUUCGACCGCGAGGAAGCCACCUGGUUGGAAGGGUGGUGACGGUAGUGGUAGAAGAAGCACCGGCUAACUACGUG
This 494-nucleotide ribosomal RNA is filed under the name uncultured bacterium. RNAcentral's name for it is "partial 16S ribosomal RNA". It matches the Rfam family "Bacterial small subunit ribosomal RNA", at positions 28 to 507 of the family's 1533-position model. The record is from RNAcentral.